This is a long non-coding RNA of Mustela lutreola (European mink), 588 nucleotides long. RefSeq lists it as uncharacterized. The transcript has 3 exons. Lineage: Eukaryota; Metazoa; Chordata; Mammalia; Carnivora; Mustelidae. The record is from RefSeq and is a predicted model, not a curated record.
CCAACGUGACGGGGCCGGGCGCGGGUGGGGGCGGGCCCCGGUCCGCGAGCGCCGGGAGCCCGCGAGGAUUCGCCGGUUCUCCUCCCUCCGGAGCGCUCCGCUCAGAAGUCGGGCGGGCAAAAGGGAGCGCGGCGCGGAGCCUCCAGGGAGCCGGGCAGGAAAAAGAAGGGGAGAGGAGAAGCGACCCCAAAUCCCUGACACGGGGACUGGGCUGAGCCCCCUUUCCUGCUCUUUGAAGCAAUGCUGCCUGCGAGGAGGAAACGCGCUUCGCGUGUCAGUGCAAACCGAGUCACCCGACCCUUUGCAGCCCCCAUUUGUAUGAAAGGGAAGUCCACUUAACCGCAGGCCUGAUAAACAAGGAGAGGCAGAAGAGACCACACCCUGACCCUGCUGUUCGUGGAGUCUAAGCUAUCUCUGGACAUUUCAGUUAUUUGAGACAAAUACAUCCCAUCUGUUACUUCAGUUACUGGAGAGUGAAGAGAACUUCAGAGGUCACUUGAUCACAGCCCAGCUGAGAGGAGAAGGCAUUCGAUAGAAGUCACCAUGCCUGGUGCCCAUGUGUGGUCUCCUGGCUUUCCUGGCUCCUGG